GUAGGUCUCUAGACAUUACAGAGAACCCCGUACAACCCAAACUGUUAACCUUCAAUACUGCUUUGUACUUACGAUCUUGUAUCCACUGACUGUCUUGUUAGAUUAACCCAAUAAAUUUCAUUCACUCCGCAUACUCAAUCCUAUAGACACCCUUUUAAUCCUUCAAUCACAGACGUAACUCGAUUUCACAAAACAGUCAAGAGUAUUCAAACCCACUUCAUU
RNAcentral lists this long non-coding RNA (222 nucleotides) under Physcomitrium patens. RNAcentral's name for it is "long non-coding RNA (PPAT_LNC012384)". Lineage: Eukaryota; Viridiplantae; Streptophyta; Bryopsida; Funariales; Funariaceae. The record is from RNAcentral.